CAGCAACAGCAGCAACAA
Molecule: microRNA, 18 nt
Filed under: Macrophomina phaseolina MS6
Lineage: Eukaryota; Fungi; Ascomycota; Dothideomycetes; Botryosphaeriales; Botryosphaeriaceae
Description: miR-2491-3p
Source: RNAcentral